Molecule: ribosomal RNA, 253 nt
Filed under: uncultured bacterium
Lineage: Bacteria
Description: partial 16S ribosomal RNA
Rfam family: Bacterial small subunit ribosomal RNA
Source: RNAcentral
UACGAAGGGGGCGAGCGUUGUUCGGAUUUACUGGGCGUAAAGGGCGCGUAGGCUGCGGGGCAAGUCGGGUGUGAAAUCUCAGAGCUCAACUCUGAAACUGCACUCGAUACUGCUUUGCUUGAGGACUGGAGAGGAGAUUGGAAUUCACGGUGUAGCAGUGAAAUGCGUAGAUAUCGUAAGGAAGACCAGUGGCGAAGGCGGAUCUCUGGACAGUUCCUGACGCUGAGGCGCGAAGGCCAGGGGAGCAAACGGG